This 253-nucleotide ribosomal RNA is filed under the name uncultured bacterium. RNAcentral describes it as "partial 16S ribosomal RNA". It matches the Rfam family "Bacterial small subunit ribosomal RNA", at positions 524 to 776 of the family's 1533-position model. The record is from RNAcentral.
UACAGAGGGUGCGAGCGUUAAUCGGAAUUACUGGGCGUAAAGCGCACGUAGGCGGCUCUGCAAGUCGGUUGUGAAAUCCCCGGGCUCAACCUGGGAACUGCGACCGAGACUGCAUUGCUAGAGUAUGGGAGAGGAAAGCGGAAUUUCUGGUGUAGCAGUGAAAUGCGUAGAUAUCAGGAAGAACACCCGUGGCGAAGGCGGCUCUCUGGGACGGUACUGACGCUGAGACGCGAAAGCGUGGGGAGCGAACAGG